AUUGAACGCUGGCGGCAGGCCUAACACAUGCAAGUCGAACGGUAACAGGAAGAAGCUUGCUUCUUUGCUGACGAGUGGCGGACGGGUGAGUAAUGUCUGGGAAACUGCCUGAUGGAGGGGGAUAACUACUGGAAACGGUAGCUAAUACCGCAUAACGUCGCAAGACCAAAAAGGGUGACCUUCGGGCCUCUUGCCAUCGGAUGUGCCCAGAUGGGAUUAGCUAGUAGGUGGGGUAACGGCUCACCUAGGCGACGAUCCCUAGCUGGUCUGAGAGGAUGACCAGCCACACUGGAACUGAGACACGGUUCAGACUCCUACGGGAGGCAGCAGUGGGGAAUAUUGCACAAUGGGCGCAAGCCUGAUGCAGCCAUGCCGCGUGUAUGAAGAAGGCCUUCGGGUUGUAAAGUACUUUCAGCGGGGAGGAAGGGAGUAAAGUUAAUACCUUUGCUCAUUGACGUUACCCGCAGAAGAAGCACCGGCUAACUCCGUG
Molecule: ribosomal RNA, 490 nt
Filed under: uncultured bacterium
Lineage: Bacteria
Description: partial 16S ribosomal RNA
Rfam family: Bacterial small subunit ribosomal RNA
Source: RNAcentral